AGUGUUCAGGAGGGUUAGUUUUAGACCUGCAGCUUCUAGGUUGGUAUGUUCUCUUUUUCAGAUAGAAGAAACACUAGUAGCAAGUUGAUGAGGUCUGAGAUUUCCAGGUAGCUGCUGCUGCUCUGUGCUAGUAGUGUUAUCCCUGACACCACGCAAAUUUUUCUAAACUGAAAGAUAUGCACAUUCUGGUGUUAUCUGUCCUUCGCAAGCGCUGCGGAGUUCAUUUUUCUUACAUAUAAUCUUACAUUCUGAUCA
Molecule: long non-coding RNA, 255 nt
Filed under: Hordeum vulgare
Lineage: Eukaryota; Viridiplantae; Streptophyta; Magnoliopsida; Poales; Poaceae
Description: long non-coding RNA (HVUL_LNC009469)
Source: RNAcentral